Long non-coding RNA from Oncorhynchus keta (chum salmon), 262 nucleotides. RefSeq lists it as uncharacterized. The transcript is spliced from 3 exons. Lineage: Eukaryota; Metazoa; Chordata; Actinopteri; Salmoniformes; Salmonidae. The record is from RefSeq and is a predicted model, not a curated record.
ACUGUAGGUGAGUAGGACCCAGGUCAGAUGGUUACUGUAGGUGAGUAGGACCCAGGUCAGAUGGUUACUGUAGGUGAGUAGGACCCAGGACAGGUUAGAUGGUUACUGUAGGUGAGUAGGACCCAGGUCAGAUGGUUACUGUAGGUGAGUAGGACCCAGGUCAGAUGGUUACUGUAGGUGAGUAGGACCCAGGUCAGGUUAGAUGGUUACUGUAGGUGAGUAGGACCCAGGUCAGGUUAGAUGGUUACUGUAGGUGAGUAGG